UACGUAGGGGGCAAGCGUUAUCCGGAAUUAUUGGGCGUAAAGAGCUCGUAGGCGGUCUGUCGCGUCUGCUGUGAAAACUCGGGGCUUAACCCCGGGCCUGCAGUGGGUACGGGCAGACUAGAGUGCGGUAGGGGAGACUGGAAUUCCUGGUGUAGCGGUGAAAUGCGCAGAUAUCAGGAGGAACACCGGUGGCGAAGGCGGGUCUCUGGGCCGUAACUGACGCUGAGGAGCGAAAGCAUGGGGAGCGAACAGG
Molecule: ribosomal RNA, 253 nt
Filed under: uncultured bacterium
Lineage: Bacteria
Description: partial 16S ribosomal RNA
Rfam family: Bacterial small subunit ribosomal RNA
Source: RNAcentral